Molecule: non-coding RNA, 617 nt
Organism: Schizosaccharomyces pombe (fission yeast)
Lineage: Eukaryota; Fungi; Ascomycota; Schizosaccharomycetes; Schizosaccharomycetales; Schizosaccharomycetaceae
Source: the annotation of a GenBank genome assembly
UGUUUCUAGUGUAGAGACAUAAUAUAAUAAGAAAAGGACUUGAAAAAUAGCGGAUGCGAGCGUUACCUAACGAGAGUGGGCAACAUGGUAAAAGGGAAAAGGAAGGAGAAGAAAAAUGGUGCAGCGAGCAAAUAAUCCAAAGGCACCUAAUAUGACUAUGAGUGGUAGCGUGGUGUUUGUGCGAUGAGUUACACCAAGUAGGAAUUAAGGGAAAUAAAACGAGACGAAAGGAAAAGAAAAUAAAAUAAAAGGGAAAAAAAAUAAAAAUAAAAACUUGAGUGGAAAAAAGGAAACAUGAACCCUAAAAAAUAAAAAUAAAAGGGAAGAAUGAAAACCAAAAAUAAAAGUGAGGAAUGAAAACAAAAAAUUUAAUAAAAAGGAGGAAUGAAAACAAAAAAAUGUUCUACUCUACUAGUUUUAGUCUAGCUUUAGUAAAAAAAAAGAAAACAUCCUCAUUUCACUCAUCUCGUUUCUUCUGUUCACACCGCCCUUGUUACCAACUCGCUCAUUCCACUGGGUCCAUCCUCUUGACUGCCUGUGCUCGGCUGGCUUGUGAAAAGGCAAUGCUGGGUAAGUCCUGUGUGCUUCCAUUAGGGAUGUGUGGAGGUAUUUUGAUG